This is a long non-coding RNA of Physeter macrocephalus (sperm whale), 869 nucleotides long. RefSeq lists it as uncharacterized. The record is from RefSeq and is a predicted model, not a curated record. The transcript is spliced from 3 exons. NCBI's taxonomy places the organism in Eukaryota, Metazoa, Chordata, Mammalia, Artiodactyla, Physeteridae.
CUGUGGGAGCUGGCACAAGAGUAGAGCCACUGAUGAGACCAUGAAACCUCAGGAAACCUGCCACACACCCCAUCGAAAAAUUCAAGAAAACUGAGGCUCAGAGAAGUCAGUCAACUUGCCUAAAGUCACAAAGCUGCUCUUCUGUACCGACAUCUGCAAACCCUGUUUUAAAAGAAGAGCCAAGGGCUUCCCUGGUGGCGCAGUGGUUAAGAAUCCACCUGCCAAUGCAUGGGACACGAGCCCUGGUCCGGGAAGAUCCCACAUGCCAUGGAGCAACUAAGCCCGUGCGCCACAACUACUGAGCCUGCCCUCUGGAGCCAGCGAGCCACAACUACUGAGCCUGCAUGUCACAGCUACUGAAGCCCACGCACGUGGAGCCCGUGCUCCGCAACAAGAGAAGCCACUGCAAUGAGAAGCCCGCACACCGCAACGAAGAGUAGCCCCCGCUUGCCGCAACUAGAGAAAGCCCGCGUGCAGCAAGGAAGACCCAACACAGCCCAAAAUCAAUAAAAUAAAAUAAAUUUUUUUUUAAUUUAAAAAAAAUAAGAGAAGAGCCAAGUAUUGUGAACACAUGUUCAGGGACCCUGGAGGUCUGAGAGGAGGGAGUCAAAACCUCAAGGUGGCUGGAGAUUUGGCUGGGGAGAGAGGAGCUGACACCAGGUCUGGCCACAGAAUCUGCGGGACCCAGUGCAAAAUGGAAAUGUGGGGUCCUUUGCUCAAGAGCUGCUAAGACUUGCCACCACGCCAACCAUUACAAGAUGCAUAAUAAGUUGCUUCAACACUUAGCUACCAGAGACUCCCGAUUCCCCGCUGCUGCCAGACACGUAUCCCAAAUGACUUAGUUGAAUAUUCAAUUCUUGAAUAAUUUA